CUCCCGGGCGCGCGCAGCUGUUAACCUCUCGCUUUAGGAAGCUAAAGACAAGCUCCUGUUACCGUUUUUCAAUUAGCAGCUUGGUUUUCACUGGAAUCAUAAACAAAGGUUCUCUAUAAGCAUAGGGCAAUGAAAACACAUCUGCCCGGUGUCUCCUUACCUGGUUUAAUCGUCGCCAGCCCCAAGUCACGGCCUAGGCCCUUUCUUCUCACUUGAGUGGAAUCCCGCCGCCUGGUUUCGGGCAAGCGAAGGGCUGAUGUCAGCUGCUCAUUUAGUGUCCUCUGGCCGCAGGAGCUCUGGAAAUCUCUGCUCGAACUUUAUUCUGCCAAGAAGCGGGGAAGGGGCCCGGGUCCUGAUCUAUCUAGCAAGUUGGAAAGAUAGCAGAGGAAAAGCCAAAAUAAACACUUUCUGGUUGCCCAGGAAGAAAGGGUGGGAACUUAGCCCGCGGCGGAAACUCCUGACCCACAGAUGACCCCUGAGAAUGAAGCAUUGGAAGUGAUAUCCUCUGACUGUGCAGUUUCAGAGAAGGGGCUGCUGUUUCCCAGUCACGCUCGGAUGUCUGAUUGUCAGCUUUAUGUCUCAGGAAGUAUUCCCCGCAAUUCAGGCUCCUGGGAGGAUGCCUCUUCGGCUGAGGAAGUGCAGUUGUCUGGUCCCGACUGAGGAGACCACUGGUUCAGAGCACCUGGGGUUCAGGCAGGACAGAGUUUGAAUCUGGUUCUGCCAUUUACCAUCUGUGUGAGUUUAGGUUAAGUCGCUGAAAUUCUCAGAGCCUCGCUUUUGUCAUCUGCAGAACUAGGUAAUGACGGCGCUUACCUCAGAGGGUUGUGCUGAGAACUCAGCGAGGUAUUGGUAGGUACCAAGCCCAGGGUCAGGAAGGAGUAAGUUCCCCCAAAGCAGGAUUUUUAUGAUUUUAUUAUUUUUAAUCCUCAUAGUUUUCCUCACAUCACUCAGACUCAGGUCACCCUUUCUCUAAAAUGAUGUUUUUCCCCUCUGUGCCACACUGAAUGUCAGUGUGGACCGCUUUCCAGGACUUGAAAAUGAUUCGGCAAAGUGAACCUUUUGGUUAAUGUUGUUUACUGGAGUGGGAUUUGAGCUGCAGCAAUUUAGACACUUGGCUGGCAGAUGGCGGAUGGCCUUGGGAGGCUGUACCAUUUGCUUAGAAUGCAGGGUUUGAAGUCUCUCUUCACCAGUCAUUUCAAAAAUGAGCCUCACUUAGAAUUUCACAGAAGCAAAUAAGCCUGUAGUUAAAAUCCUGGUGAAAUAACCACUUGUUUAGUAUUUAUUUACAGCCCAGAAACCCAGCAGGUACAAUCUCAGGUGUACUUCAGCUUAAAAGCAAAUCCUGCAGUUCCCUGAGAUGUCCUGUUUUCUGGGCAUCUAGAAAGAUACAUUUGAAGACCGGCGUCUUCCCAGCCCCCGGCCCCAUGACAGAAAUAAAAAACGAGGAAAGAAUUUUUCUCUCUAAUUUGUAAAGCAAACAAGAGAAAUAAAAAGAGCAGGAGGAAGCCAGCUGCUGGAAUGAUACCCAAAUAGAACAAUUCUCAAUAGGUGAGAAAUCACAGCAUGAUGAAGCCGGAAUGAGGGUGGUGUCCAGGCUCUCGGAACUUGCAGCUCAUAUGUAAGUGGAAGGAAGCAUCAAGGGGUGAUUGAGGGACCCUGAUGACAGGAUGAGAUGAAAACUAAUGGUUCGUCUUUGCACAGAGCACAAGAGCACAGCCUGCUGAGAAGGCUCUCUGUCAAUCACGGACACCGGAUGGGAUAAUUCUGGAACUGCAGGGUCAGGGAGGGUUACCUGCAGCCCCUCAUUCUCAGCAUGGCCAGAGAUGCUGAGGGAGUUGCCUCUCCCUACCAGCAAGGCCAGUGGGCACCAGGACACGCACCUCCACGUUGCCAUCUUCAAUGUGCUAGCCAGUGUGGGCUGAUGUGCUGUAAACUUUCAGUGAAGUGCAAGCACUCAGUCACGAUGGGACAGAGGGAGAACAAACACAGCUAAUCAAAAGAGAGCUCACCUUCACUGUGCCUUUUCCUCUGUGCCGAGAGCUGUGCUGGGACCUUUAUGAACGUUAUCUCUGAAUCCCCAAAGUGCCCCUAUCAAAGAUGUACUUUCCCCAUUCCACAUGGAAAGACACUAACUUUGCAAAAAUACAGCAGAUAGCAAAACUGGCCUUUAAUCCUGAGAGUUCUGCUUCCACAGCUUAUGCUCUAAACUUCUAGCUAUGCUGUCUUGCAGCAAAGAGAACCCCUUCAUUGCAAGUAAUUGAAUGAAGCCCUCCUAUGUUGUGGAAGACAUGGAACAAAGAAAUGUGUGUGACUCAAAUGCUUCCCUGGUGAGAGCUGCUUGGUUCCUUUAGGGUUCCACCACAACACACUGAGAAGCAGGGUUUCUCCCCUCUCCCUUUUUUUUUUUUGGUUGAAGUAUAGUUGAUUUAUAAUGUUAUGUUAGUUUCUGGUGUACAGCAUAGUGAUUCAGUCAUACACACACACACAUACACAAAUAUAUAUGUAUAUAUAGACACACAUUCUUUUUCAUAUUCUUUUUCAUUAUAGGUUUUACAAAGUAUUAAAUAUUUUUUCCUGUGCUAUAGAGUAGGACCUUAUUGUUUAGCUAUUUUAUAUAUAGUAGUUUAUAUCUUGUAAUCCCAAGGUUUUAAUUUAUCCUUCUCCUCCCCCUUCCCCCUUUGGUAACAAUAAAUUUGUUUUCUAUG
Camelus dromedarius (Arabian camel) is the source of this 2705-nucleotide long non-coding RNA. RefSeq lists it as uncharacterized. The record is from RefSeq and is a predicted model, not a curated record. Lineage: Eukaryota; Metazoa; Chordata; Mammalia; Artiodactyla; Camelidae. The transcript is spliced from 4 exons.